RNAcentral lists this ribosomal RNA (495 nucleotides) under uncultured bacterium. Its description in RNAcentral is "partial 16S ribosomal RNA". It matches the Rfam family "Bacterial small subunit ribosomal RNA", at positions 28 to 507 of the family's 1533-position model. The record is from RNAcentral.
GACGAACGCUGGCGGCGUGCCUAAUACAUGCAAGUAGAACGCUGAAGGAGGAGCUUGCUCUUCUGGAUGAGUUGCGAACGGGUGAGUAACGCGUAGGUAACCUGCCUGGUAGCGGGGGAUAACUAUUGGAAACGAUAGCUAAUACCGCAUAACAGUAGAUGUUGCAUGACAUUUACUUAAAAGGUGCAAUUGCAUCACUACCAGAUGGACCUGCGUUGUAUUAGCUAGUUGGUGGGGUAACGGCUCACCAAGGCGACGCUACAUAGCCGACCUGAGAGGGGGGACGGCCACACUGGGAAUGAGACACGGCCCAGACUCCUACAGGAGGCAGCAGUAGGGGAACUUCGGCAAUGGACGGAAGUCUGACCGAGCAACGCCGCGUGAGUGAAGAAGGUUUUCGGGUCGUGAAGCUCUGUUGUGAGAGAAGAACGAGUGUGAGGGUGGAAAGUUCACACUGUGACGGUAUCUUAACAGAAAGGGACGGCUAACUACGUG